GCUAGCGGCGGGUGAGUAGCGCGUACAACAAUCUACCUUAAGUGAGGGAUAGCCUAUGGAAACGUAGAAAUAAUACCUCAUGGUAUGGGAUAUCGCAUGGUAAUUGAUUAAAGAUUUAUUGCUUAAAGAUGAGUGUGCGUCCUAUAGCUAGAUGGUAAGGUAACGGCUUACCAUGGCGACGAUAGGUAGGGGGCGGGAGAGCGUGGACCCCCACACGGGUACUGAGACACGGACCCGACUCCUACGGGAGGCAGCAGUAAGGGAAUAUUGGACAAUGGGGCGGGAAGCCUGAUCCAGCCAUGCCCGCGUGCAGGAAGACGGCCCUACGGGUUGUAAACUGCUUUUGUAUGGGAAGAAUGGCCCUGACGUGUCAGGGACGCGACGGUACCAUAAGAAUAAGCACCGGCUAACUCCGUGCCAGCAGCCGCGGUAAUACGGAGGGUGCAAGCGUUAUCCGGAAAUUACUGGGUUUAAAAGGGUGCGUAGGCGGCUAUAUAAGUCAGGAGUGAAAGGUUCCCGCUAAACGGGAGAAGGUCUUUUGAUACUGUAUAGCUUGAAUAAGGUUGAGGUUAGCGGAAUGUGACAUGUAGCGGUGAAAUGCAUAGAUAUGUCAUAGAACACCAAUUGCGAAGGCAGCUGGCUAGACCUAUAUUGACGCUGAGGCACGAAAGCGUGGGGAGCGAACAGGAUUAGGUACCCUGGUAGUCCACGCCCUA
Molecule: ribosomal RNA, 716 nt
Filed under: uncultured bacterium
Lineage: Bacteria
Description: bacterial SSU rRNA
Rfam family: Bacterial small subunit ribosomal RNA
Source: RNAcentral